This 255-nucleotide unclassified non-coding RNA is filed under the name Hevea brasiliensis (rubber tree). The record is from RNAcentral. Lineage: Eukaryota; Viridiplantae; Streptophyta; Magnoliopsida; Malpighiales; Euphorbiaceae.
AUGAAUGGGGAGCCUCUAAACAGGGAUCAUGGUUAUCCACUGCGAGUGGUUGUCCCAGGUGUUAUAGGUGCACGUUCUGUCAAAUGGUUGGAUUCCAUUAACAUAAUUGCAGAAGAAUGUCAGGGCUUCUUUAUGCAAAAGGACUACAAAAUGUUUCCCCCAUCAGUGAAUUGGGAUAACAUCAAUUGGUCUACAAGGAGGCCACAAAUGGAUUUCCCUGUUCAGUGUGCAAUUUGUUCUUUAGAGGAUAUGACU